This is a long non-coding RNA of Trifolium pratense (red clover), 1555 nucleotides long. RefSeq lists it as uncharacterized. The record is from RefSeq and is a predicted model, not a curated record. Lineage: Eukaryota; Viridiplantae; Streptophyta; Magnoliopsida; Fabales; Fabaceae. The transcript is spliced from 3 exons.
AAUCAAACACGGAUACAUCAGUGCAUCACUUGUCUUCACUCUUUCUUUCUAGUUUAUGCAGAGUUCUUUUCUCUUCAAGAAAAAAUCAAACACUCGUUGUGGUUUCAUUUCAUCAACGGAAAUGAAGAAUGGAAGAAAAAGAAUGAAUCAAUGUUGGGUCUUCAAUCUUCUGCAACAGUAGAGUUUUCAUCAACGGAAAUGAAGAAUGGAAGAUAAACUUUUUCUCGUUUUCAACGGUCCCGAGUGUCUUGAUGACCCAAAUAUUUUAAAUGAUGCUUAAUGUGAAAGCUAGUUGUUGCCUUAAAGACAAAAUGGCAUGAAUGGUAUCUAUUGUGCUUUGACGACCCUAAAUGCAAAUGCAAUUUUGCAACUACAAUAUGAAGUGAUUUUGCAAAUGCAAAGUGGAGUGUGCUCUUGAAGGUACAUUAUAAGUUUCACGGGAUCUUUAUUGAUCAUGGGCGACAUUAAUCAGCAGAACUUAGAUAUCAUAAGCAGGACUGGAAUAAAAACAGGCAUUGAUUCAAGGUUUGUUUUUGAAACCACAAUUCGUUGGUAAUGAGAAUGCUAUUGUUGCAGAGUUUGUUGCUACUCAGAAAGGAAAUUUGUGGUGGUGUACUUGAAAUGCCGCUUUCUCUAGCAAAACUAAGCUACACAACAAAUGUCAAUGAUUAAUUGGUUACCUCUUAUGGCUGUCCCAGUGGGAGCCCAAUGCUGAGAUGUUGCGGUUGGGUCAAAUUCUUUUGAUCAGUUACCAUUUAGUUUGCGAGGAAAAGGCCUCACGGAUUUCUCCUCUUUUGCGCCACCCCUUCUGAAAUUAUACAACUGCUAUAACUGGUAUUUGGAGAGAAGAUGCUGAAAGGUAUUGUUGGUAAAAUUAUAAAAGUAGAAUUAGAUGAGACCUAGUGACGAAAGGGAAAGUUAACUCUAAACUUCUAUUUUUGUUCCCUUUCUCUGCAUAAUGAGGAAUGUGUGUGACUGAAUUCUCUAUUUGAAAAGACAAAAUUCAAGUAUCAUGGCCAAUAGGUGAAUUCACGAGGUAUGUGUGAAUGAUGAACAUGAUUGAGAUUAAAUGCUUUGGUUUUGUUCAUCAAAGAUUUGUUAUGCCUUAUAAGUAACCACAAACAAUUGAUAUAUGUGCAUAAGUAAAUAUGAUUAUGCCGGUUGAUGUAUGACGAAACUCUUUUAUAAUAUGCUUUGAAUGCUUGUUUGGUAAAUUGACUUAUUACAUGACACUUAGACAUAUGACAUGCAAGGUUGAAAGGGGGUUGUAAGGACUAGCACCUCAUACUUUAAUUGCUUCAUGCUCUGAUAGACUAAAAAUGAAUCAUUUCAAGAAUGACAGCGGUUUAGAUCAUCAUAGAAGUAUAUGGAUAGAUAGUUAGUUAGCAAAACCAUAGGUAAUGAUGCAAGAUGGCUUAGAGUUUCAAAACUUAGACUUUCAGAUUUUGUGUCUUUUAGUAUACAAAAUUUUUCUGCAUAAAUAAGGUCGCAGUGCUACCUAUAUAGUUACCUUAAAAUAAACUGAUAAUACUAACUAAAAUUAGUAUAUGCAUAU